AAGAGUACUGGAGUGGGGUGCCAUUGCCUUCUCCAUACUAUAUAUAUAUAUGUAUAGAAAAGCUUUUUAACUUGGCUUGGUAAAGGCUUGAGAAAGAGCAACAAUAACAAAAAGAGACAGAGAAAUUGGAAAACAUAAACUAAAUGAAAUGGGAGCACUAAAUAUGAAAUAGAAAAAGUAAAAAUCACAUACCCUUAAUAAAUACUUUUGAGCAUGAAUCCAGUAUGAAACUUUUCAUAUUUAAUCCCUUCUGCUGUGGAUUUUUCCUGUGAAUACUCAUUUUAGGGAUUACUGGAAUUAAUGAAGAAGAAUGGGUGUUCUGGGAGGUGGGCAGGAAAAAAGAGUAGAAUUGAAUUAGAGUUGAUUUUGGACAUGAUGGGUCCAAGAUACCUGAAGCAGUGCAGUCGUUUGAAGAUGCUUCAUACAAAGUUGGAAGUGAAUCCUAAAGAUUGUAUAAGGAAAACGAUACCAAGCUUAUGUUGGUUGUUUUAAUGUUUUAUCAUUUGAUUCUCAACUAAAUAUUUACAGCAUUUUGAAAAUGUUAUACUUGGCGGUUUAAAUUAAAGAGUGAGUAUUCUUAAAAUAAAUCUUUUGUAUAGCCUAAAACAUGAAGGUCUUUUAGAUUGUAGUUCAUUCACCUGUUUAGACUUCUUAGAAUAUUCAGAGGUAUCAGCCCUAAACAGGUCUUCCAAAGCAAGAGAUUCUCCAAAGCUCAGAGUGUCUUACAAAUGGCUUAUGUUUUUCAGUGACUUUCUCAAAAGUAUAAUUUUCAUUUCCUUCUGGCCAACCCUCCAUUACUGAGUUAAUACCUAUAAAGCCUAACCCAGAAUACUUUCAGUUUACUAAGACCCUACAAUUAUAUGAUUAAAGGCACAAAUGCUGGUUGAUGUUUUUGGUUUGGUUCAGUUCGGUUUGAUUUUAUUUUAAUUAAGGGUACUUCAGCCCACAAAAUCUUUUAUCUUGAUAUUCAAACCAUGUUUCCCUUUGGGGAAGUAGGGAUGAGAAACAGCUGUAGUUCCUCUAUCUUUCAUGAAGUUCAAUUAACUUUCUUCCUUUUGUCUAUUUUCUGUUCGGUGUCUGUAUCCAUAUCCUUGAUGAAUAUUUAUUGAAUGCCCAAAGAAUAGUAGCACUAUUGUAAGCUGAGUACAUGUUGAUGUGGAAAAGCACCUUUUCUCUUUUAUUGCUUACUGGAUAAAAGGCCCAAAGAACUAUGUCAGGUUCACAAAAUGAGUCUUUCAUGCAAAAUAGAUUCUCAGAACAAGUACCUGAAAAUGGAAACGUUCCUAUUGGACAAAAUGACAAAGCAAAAUCAAAUCUACAGGUCUCUGUAAUCCUACCCCUCUCUCUCUUCGACGGCAGGGGGCAGCGGCAUAAGAUAAGAAUGGUUGCUACCCCUUCUGUUCCUGCGCCCUGUACACAGCAGCCACAACUGGCUGCAGGGACAGCAGGCUUUUGAGGCUGAAAUAGAAGAUUAAGGCCUUGACAAAAUCCCAGAUUAGAUCAGUAGUUGAUAAAAAUUACAGUAUCUCAUUUUACAUCUAACACAUAUUAGCCUGAUCUCUUGUUUUUAGGUCUUCCAGAGAAAUUUUGAGGAAACAAAUAUUUGGGACUGUUAGUCAUAGAGUAAACCUCAUAGUCUAGGAUGUUUAUAGUUGUCUCACAGGUAGUAGCAGGAUGAGCCAGUAGACAGGAAGUGCUGUGCCACACAGUAACGAGUUAGUAAAUAUGAAUGAAUGAUUGCCGACAUCCCUUCAGGAAAACAACUUGCUUUGGUAGCUUUGCAGUGAGUCCGCAGUCUGUCGCUGCCGUGUCUUUGGCCGGCGUGCAACAGUACAAUAAUUCCAAGAGCAAAAGGUCUAAGACCUUUGUUCUGGUUCUGCCAUUUUAGUAUUGUAAGUACUCAGGGACUGACCUCUUUCAGACCUUUCUCAUUCCCUGAAACAGUCUGUUUCUUUUUGUGUUGCCACAGAACUCCAAUCAUACUCAUCCUGACACUUCUGUACACUGUAGGUCACACCCACUAGUGAAUAAUGAGGUGUUGUAAGCAGCAACCCAAUUGUAAAAGGUUGUGACCAGCAUUUUAUUAAAAAAAGAAAAGAUACAGAAUAGGGUAGAUUAGAAAAUACCACAGAGUGAAUCGUGUAUAGAAAGAGUCAUGUUUCAUAAAACUUCUGUUUUACUUAAACUUGUUUGUUUAUCCUGGGUUGCAGUAUAAAAUGUAUUUCUUACUUUAAGUCAUAGUUAAGAAAAUUUUUCUUGAAAAAUACUGUUGUAGUAUAAACCAUAUCAUCAUGUAAUUGUUUUAUAAAUCCCUCCCCUCUGCUAGACUAUGUACCUCUUAAAAAAAGGAAUCACAUUUUAUUUGUCUCUUAAUUUCUAAUAGCUAGAAUAGAUUUGCCUAACACAGGUGUUUAGUGUUUGUGGAAUGAGUGAAAGAACUGAAAUCUACUUAACUUCUCUGAACCUCAUAUUUUUCCUAAAUUAGAAUGUCACCCACCAGAUCUCUCAGUGUUCAUGUGUAGAGUGGUUGAGAUAUGGAUGUGAAAGUGCUUUAUUGUAAGAAUGAUGUGCAGAAUAAGGAUUAUCAUCCAGCAUAAAUUUUGUUAUUGUUGCUGGACAGGUAAGCUUCAGAAACUCUUAAACUCUUAAAUCAGUGUUCUAAAGAUGACUUAUUUAUUGCAGUACUAUUAAUAGUGCUGUAUUAUCCCUUUUUAGGUUGCAAGUUAGGAGACAGUCUUGAAAAAUUAAGUAUGUGCUCUUUCUUUUUCAUUUUUACAUUUUAAAUUAUGGAACAGUUAAUUAUAUAAGAUAACAAAGACACACUACAAGAUGGACUGCUGUGUACUCAGCUCCGCCUUCUACCAACAGGUAGCAACUCAGAGCCAAUUUUGUUGUUUCAUCUGUGUCCUCUCCUAUCUCCCGCUUCCUGUGUUACUGUGAAGCAUUUCUUUUCUUCUCUCCCACUCUUCUUUCUCCCCCGACCCUCUUCCCUCUUUUGCUUACCUCUUCAAGUAUGUAGAAAUAUUCUUAACAUUCUUUUAAGAUAGAAUCAUUAGCGCCAAGCAAUGUAGCUUGGAAAUUUAGACUAAAGUAGUGCAGUGCUGUGUGUGAAUGAGCUAUUCUAUGACAGGAACUAGCAGGUAAACAAGAUAUUUUAUUUCCCAAGAUUUUCAUAUGAUGGUGACCAACUCCAUUGCAAAACAAUAAUCACAUUCCAGAGUCGUAAGUAGUUCUGGAGGCUUAGUUACACAAUCACCAACUCUGUCAUCUUCCUCAGAAAUGUGACCUUACAGAAAAGUAAAGAGUCUGAAGCAUGACAGGUCACUUUUUAAGCUUUUUGAAGUUUGUUUUCUAUCAUGUAAGAAUCCUCAAGCUUUUGACCUCUAGCUAGGCAAGAAAAAGUAUCUGACUGAAACUUUUGAAAUACUGUAAAACUAUAAUAAACUCCACUUUAAGACUAUAGCCCCAGGCUGUAAUAUGUCACUUAGAAGUUAAAAUCUACUUGGAAGAAAAAAAAUUUUUAAUCAUCACUUGUAUUAUGAAUUCAUAGUAAUCUUUUUUUGGUUUUCAUAAUUUUGUGAUUUGAGCCUUAAUGUGAUAAAUAUAUAGAUCCAAAUAAUUUGAAACCCUAAAGAUAACUUAAUUCUGUCAAAUUUUACUUAUUUAGAAUUUUUCUUCCUUAAAGUCAACUGUAGAGACUUUUUUGAUUUUGAACAAAGUAUUGCUAAGUUUUACCCACUGCAACAAUUGAAUAGUCCAAAACUGCAUUUCUCAACUUAGUAAAAACCAAUUGUUAUUAGUCUAACACUGCAAAUUACCAGGGGUCUUUCUCCUUUGAUCUCAUUCUGCACAAACUACUCCAUUUGACGAGUAUUGUCUCGUAUUGACUUCUAUUUCCCAUCAACCCAAUUAUAAACUUAAUAUUGAUGAGAUUUCACCAUUUUAGACCCUGACUCUAUGUCCGUUUAAUCCUGCCUCUCAGUGUAAACUGGAGUUAGUUUUAGCCAGGUGAAUGCACUUCCUCAUGGCCUCUCUGGGUGCCAUUCUAACUCUUUCCCUGCUGUCUGAUCACAGCACAACUCUUGUUCAUCAAGGCCACUUCCCCCCCAUUCCUCUUCUCUAACUUAUGUUCUGCCAGUCCUGCAGGACCCAUUUCAAGUCCUACCUUUUCAAAUAAGCCUUCCCCAGUAAUAGCUGUCUUCCUGGCUAUUUUUUUUUUUUUUUUUUUUGAGGGAAGAAGUAUGACUUUAUUUGGAAAGCUGACCGACUGAGAAGAUGGCAGACUAAUGUCUCAAAAUAACCAUUUAUUGGGGUCUGGUUUCUGGAUGUUUUUAGUUCUUGAUUUCCUGUGUCAGGCAAAUGUGGAGUUCACCAUGUGGUGCCCCUCUUGAUCCCAGAAAGCAGAAAAAUGCAAAUACUCUCUGAAAAUUAAACUAAGAAAUGAACGUCUAACUGAUUAAAGUCAAGAAAGGCAACGUGAUCUUACGAGACAUAAGGACUCUGGGCGCAGAGAUUUGACUAACCUGAUUGAUGGUACUGACAUCUUUAAAACACACAAACAUACAAAAAUGCUCAGGAGAGCAUUUUCUCUCUCUCCAAAACAGAAGAAAAGAAAAACUCUUAAUGAAAUUGUCACGAUACCUAACAAAGCACUGUCUGACCAAUAGCACCUGCCCGGUGGAGGCAAGCAUCCAGCCUGUGUGCAGGUGGAUAGCCCUGUGGUACAGAGCUGCAGAGCCUCAUGCCAUUCUGCACUGGAAUCCUGCGUAAUUAACUCCACUUGCUCUGCUUCCGUGUGCACCAAGCUUCCCUCUGGUGAUUUGCCUUCCCAAGGAGAUAAUGCACUAUCGGGCUGAUGCAGAGUCAUCACUCUCAGACUGAUGCAGCGUCAGUAUGCCUGAUUCUUCUGUUGUUCACUGUAAAUAAUAAAGUCGCCUUCUUUUUUUUUUUUGUAUA
Capra hircus (goat) is the source of this 4956-nucleotide long non-coding RNA. RefSeq lists it as uncharacterized. The transcript has 2 exons. The record is from RefSeq and is a predicted model, not a curated record. Lineage: Eukaryota; Metazoa; Chordata; Mammalia; Artiodactyla; Bovidae.